RNAcentral lists this non-coding RNA (21 nucleotides) under Rattus norvegicus (Norway rat). Lineage: Eukaryota; Metazoa; Chordata; Mammalia; Rodentia; Muridae. The record is from RNAcentral.
UGAUGACUGAUGACCGAUGAU